RNAcentral lists this ribosomal RNA (497 nucleotides) under uncultured bacterium. RNAcentral's name for it is "partial 16S ribosomal RNA". It matches the Rfam family "Bacterial small subunit ribosomal RNA", at positions 28 to 507 of the family's 1533-position model. The record is from RNAcentral.
GAUGAACGCUGGCGGCGUGCCUAAUACAUGCAAGUCGAGCGAACGGACGAGAAGCUUGCUUCUCUGAUGUUAGCGGCGGACGGGUGAGUAACACGUGGAUAACCUACCUAUAAGACUGGGAUAACUUCGGGAAACCGGCGCUAAUACCGGAUAAUAUUUUGAACCGCAUGGUUCAAAAGUGAAAGACGGUCUUUCUGGCACUUAUAGCUGGAUCCGCGCUGCAUUAGCUAGUUGGUAAGGUACCGGCUUACCAAGGCAACGAUGCCUAGCCGACCUGAGAGGGUGAGCGGCCACACUGGAACUGAGACACGGUCCAGACUCCUACGGGAGGCAGCAGUAGGGAAUCUUCCGCAAUGGGCGAAAGCCUGACGGAGCAACGCCGCGUGAGUGAUGAAGGUCUUCGGAUCGUAAAACUCUGUUAUUAGGGAAGAACAUAUGUGUAAGUAACUGUGCACAUCUUGACGGUACCUAAUCAGAAAGCCACGGCUAACUACGUG